RNAcentral lists this ribosomal RNA (484 nucleotides) under uncultured bacterium. RNAcentral describes it as "partial 16S ribosomal RNA". It matches the Rfam family "Bacterial small subunit ribosomal RNA", at positions 30 to 507 of the family's 1533-position model. The record is from RNAcentral.
AUUGAACGCUGGCGGCAGGCCUAACACAUGCAAGUCGAGCGGAUGAAGGGAGCUUGCUCCUGGAUUCAGCGGCGGACGGGUGAGUAAUGUCUAGGAAUCUGCCUGGUAGUGGGGGAUAACGUCCGGAAACGGGCGCUAAUACCGCAUACGUCCUGAGGGAGAAAGUGGGGGAUCUUCGGACCUCACGCUAUCAGAUGAGCCUAGGUCGGAUUAGCUAGUUGGUGGGGUAAAGGCCUACCAAGGCGACGAUCCGUAACUGGUCUGAGAGGGUGAUCAGUCACACUGGAACUGAGACACGGUCCAGACUCCUACGGGAGGCAGCAGUGGGGAAUAUUGGACAAUGGGCGAAAGCCUGAUCCAGCCAUGCCGCGUGUGUGAAGAAGGUCUUCGGAUUGUAAAGCACUUUAAGUUGGGAGGAAGGGCAGUAAGUUAAUACCUUGCUGUUUUGACGUUACCAACAGAAUAAGCACCGGCUAACUUCGUG